GUAGUCCACGCCGUAAACGAUGAUAACUAGCUGUCCGGGCACAUGGUGCUUGGGUGGCGCAGCUAACGCAUUAAGUUAUCCGCCUGGGGAGUACGGUCGCAAGAUUAAAACUCAAAGGAAUUGACGGGGGCCUGCACAAGCGGUGGAGCAUGUGGUUUAAUUCGAUGCAACGCGAAGAACCUUACCAGGUCUUGACAUCCAGAGAACUUUCCAGAGAUGGAUUGGUGCCUUCGGGAGCUCUGAGACAGGUGCUGCAUGGCUGUCGUCAGCUCGUGUUGUGAAAUGUUGGGUUAAGUCCCGUAACGAGCGCAACCCUUGUCCUUAGUUGCCAGCGAGUAAUGUCGGGAACUCUAAGGAGACUGCCGGUGACAAACCGGAGGAAGGUGGGGACGACGUCAAGUCAUCAUGGCCCUUACGACCUGGGCUACACACGUGCUACAAUGGCCGGUACAGACGGUUGCAAACCCGCGAGGGGGAGCCAAUCCGAGAAAACCGGUCGUAGUCCGGAUUGCAGUCUGCAACUCGACUGCAUGAAGUCGGAAUCGCUAGUAAUCGCGGAUCAGCAUGCCGCGGUGAAUA
RNAcentral lists this ribosomal RNA (579 nucleotides) under uncultured Pseudomonadaceae bacterium. RNAcentral describes it as "bacterial SSU rRNA". It matches the Rfam family "Bacterial small subunit ribosomal RNA", at positions 790 to 1368 of the family's 1533-position model. Lineage: Bacteria; Pseudomonadati; Pseudomonadota; Gammaproteobacteria; Pseudomonadales; Pseudomonadaceae. The record is from RNAcentral.